This 1471-nucleotide long non-coding RNA is filed under the name Triticum aestivum (bread wheat). RNAcentral's name for it is "long non-coding RNA (TAES_LNC022115)". Lineage: Eukaryota; Viridiplantae; Streptophyta; Magnoliopsida; Poales; Poaceae. The record is from RNAcentral.
CAAGAUACCAUUGAUUAAUACAUUCAUUCAAGCAUAUAUACAAGAUUCAUUAUUUGCUACACUCAAGUCAGCUACAACCAAUAAGGAAAUAAGUAAGUCAACAUACAAGACGUUGUCUAUUACAAAAUAUGACGGCUAAGCUCCUAAGAGACCCAAUUGUUCGAUCACUUGACUACUACAAGAUAAUAAGGAAGAGACCAAAUACCUUCGAUCACCGAGCUGACCUCAACUUCCAUAUCCACGAAAUGUGUCAAACAUGCUAUGAACAAAACCGAUCAUCAGAACAUCUUGUAUCAACUUGUGGACGUGCCAUUGUCACUGCAAAAGAACUUAAAUGUUUGAGCAAUCUUAUAAAGGAGAAUUUGUUCAAAUUUGUAAGUUGCCCUUGAUCCCAAAGAUCUAAAAACUGAAGAUGUACUACAAAUAGUUUGUUACAGAAGAUAUCCUUAAUAAAGCAUCAACAAAAGUCAGGCUAGCAACUAGCAUAUCACAUGCCUUAAUAGAAAAUUUAUGGGCUCAUUGACUUAGAUCUGUUAAAAGGCAUAACGAAUAAGGUUCUUAUUGUAACUUUACAGAUUUGUAUUUGAAGUUCCUCAACCAACAAAUAAUCAGAUAUGCACUUGUACAUGUACCAGCAGUCAUAAACGUGGUAGCAGGAAGUGCACUUGGUGAAAAAAGGCAUUUCGAAGACCAUAUGCUUGCACAUGCAUCUUGGUUUAACAGAUGCACUCUAGUUAGGCAUUGUCUAGUGUGAGUAAUUGCUAGGAUGAUCUUUACACAAUUUAUAAUAAAUCAUGCCUGCCAUUUACUAUGUGCUCUGGGUUCAUCUAUAGUCCAUUUAAUUACUACAUGCGCUCACUUCAUCUACAAGCCACUAAACUAUUCACGGACCUAGCAUAAUUAUUGAUAUCCAUUGGUAAGCAAAUCUGAUUCAGAAUCUAAACUCGGAUGAAUCUAUUUAGAAAAUGUAAGAAAGAUACCUAGCAAGUAAAUGGUGUUACAUCUUCCAUCACGACAAGAAAGAACAAAUGGUUAGAGCAUGCACGACUGUAAGAAAGGACAUCCACCCAUCAGUUGAGCUAAGAAGUUGCCCUGCUGAAAAUUAUGUGCACCAGUUUAAGGCGAACAUCUAAGAAGUAUAAAAUAAAUGGGACACAUUGCUAGCAGUAAAACAAAAUCACGUAUAUGCAUAGUGCAGGGAUGCCUCAGUUGGAACAAGGCAUGACUCAAGUUUGGUGCACAAAUCAAUAUUUACAAUGAACAAGCGGAUAAAAUAGAUCCUUAAAGAAUAGGACCUCCUACCUAAAUAUAUAUAUAGAAGUCCACGAACAAUUUUUAUGUGCAUGUUUAUCGAUGAAACCUUGUUACGAAGCUGUAUUUGGUCUGGACACACGGUGAGAAGGAAGAUGUUCCCGUGACAUGGUUUGUGAUGUGAUGCUGUUCGAUGAGCUUGAUGAUGCCAUUCACAGGA